Molecule: non-coding RNA, 513 nt
Organism: Delphinapterus leucas (beluga whale)
Lineage: Eukaryota; Metazoa; Chordata; Mammalia; Artiodactyla; Monodontidae
Source: RefSeq, a predicted model, not a curated record
UGGCCUGUUCCUAUUGUGGCGUCAUUAGAGCCCCGCCCGGCCAGGAUCUCUCAGGCGACCGAUGUAUGCAGAGAACCACGUGGAGGAAAGGCGCGCGAGUUUGGAGGGGGUGGAGCACCUGAAUAUGACACGACGGGACAGCUGGAAGGGAGCCCCUAGGUGUUGCGAAGACCCUCACGCUGCGCCGUGUGCAGGUGCUCCUGUCUCAGUGGACGGAUGUGUGGAGAGGAGCUUCUUUCUCUUUCUACUGAGCAAGGAUUCCAUGCCCUAAGUGCUUUAUGUGGCCAUGUUGGAGUUAAGAAGAGAUGCUUGUCCUCACACCUUGAUGAUGACGGCAGCUCCCGCGUACCGCCUCGCUUCCCGAGCCUCCCCUCUGUGCCCCUCUCUAUAGCAGCUGUAAGCUGACGGGGCAUUUCUGAGGACAUCCAGACCCGAGAAGGCAGACUCCGUGCCUUAGUGCCUGUUAGCACGUUCUGGAACCAGCGCCAUGCGGCUUGGCCCACACAUGGGGCA